RNAcentral lists this antisense RNA (75 nucleotides) under Actinoplanes sp. N902-109. RNAcentral's name for it is "ASpks TB sRNA". It matches the Rfam family "ASpks TB sRNA". Lineage: Bacteria; Bacillati; Actinomycetota; Actinomycetes; Micromonosporales; Micromonosporaceae. The record is from Rfam by way of RNAcentral.
CUUCAGCGACCCCAGCCAGAGCGGGUGCUCCGGGGCCCGGCCCUUGCCGUACGUCGCCAUCAGCGCCUGGAUCUC